AAGAACACAAGAAACAGGUACAACUUCGUCUUUCUUCAACACUUAACUCCUUCGACAUAUUUUCCUUCCUAUCUUUCUAAUUUCCCAAGUUACUUUUUGCAAGGCACCUUCUUUGAGGGUUCGAAACCAAAAGGCCCAACAGUGAAGACAUCAUAUGUGGGGGGUUUUACAGGGAGAGAGCUAGCUGCUGGUGGCUUGGGAAGUGGGGUGUAUUUCAACAAAGCACCAGAUUUUCCACCAUUGUAAUCUGUUGGGACAUCGCAAUAAGUAUUGUUUGAUGAGACCAAGAACACCUUGCAUUUGUGGUAAGCUCCUGAGGACAAGAGUUUGGGCAUGAUCCAGAAGAAACCAUUCUUGUCUGUCUUGCCCUGUUCC
RNAcentral lists this long non-coding RNA (375 nucleotides) under Nicotiana tabacum (common tobacco). RNAcentral describes it as "long non-coding RNA (NTAB_LNC005252)". The record is from RNAcentral. Lineage: Eukaryota; Viridiplantae; Streptophyta; Magnoliopsida; Solanales; Solanaceae.